This 468-nucleotide ribosomal RNA is filed under the name uncultured bacterium. RNAcentral describes it as "partial 16S ribosomal RNA". It matches the Rfam family "Bacterial small subunit ribosomal RNA", at positions 28 to 507 of the family's 1533-position model. The record is from RNAcentral.
GACGAACGCUGGCGGCGUGCUUAACACAUGCAAGUCGAACGGAAAGGCCCUGCUUUUGUGGGGUGCUCGAGUGGCGAACGGGUGAGUAACACGUGAGUAACCUGCCCUUGACUUUGGGGUAACUUCAGGAAACUGGGGCUAAUACCGGAUAGGAGCUCCUGCUGCAUGGUGGGGGUUGGAAAGUUUCGGCGGUUGGGGAUGGACUCGCGGCUUAUCAGCUUGUUGGUGGGGUAGUGGCUUACCAAGGGUUUGACGGGUAGCCGGCCUGAGAGGGUGACCGGCCACAUGGGGACUACGAUACGGCCCAGACGCCUACGGGAGGCAGCAGGGGGGAAUAUUGCACAAUGGGCGGAAGCCUGAUGCAGCAACGCCGCGUGCGGGAUGACGGCCUUCGGGUUGUAAACCGCUUUCGCCGGUGACGAAGCGUGAGUGACGGUAAUGGGUAAAGAAGCAACGGCUAACUACGUG